RNAcentral lists this ribosomal RNA (158 nucleotides) under uncultured bacterium. RNAcentral's name for it is "partial 16S ribosomal RNA". It matches the Rfam family "Bacterial small subunit ribosomal RNA", at positions 355 to 509 of the family's 1533-position model. The record is from RNAcentral.
UGAGGAAUAUUGGUCAAUGGGCGGGGAGCCUGAACCAGCCAAGCCGCGUGAAGGAGGAAGGCGCCAGGCGUCGUAAACUUCUUUUGUCGGGGAACAAAGGGCGCCACGCGUGGCGUUGUGAGUGUACCCGAAGAAAAAGCAUCGGCUAACUCCGUGCC